UUCCAAGAGAUCAGGUGGUGGGAGAGGGACUGGCGGCAACUGAACUUCAUACUCUGAAGAAGGAGUCCAACAUUUUCCUGAGAUCCAUGCUCUGACGAUGGUGGUUUCUUUGCAGAAAGACCUUCCUGAACAGUCUCUGCAUUCCCACCAUCACUGGCAUGUCAGCUGGCAGCACUGGCUAUUGGCAUCCUCUGGCCCCAGGGACAUCCUGCUGACCUUCCACCAUGGCACCAAUCCUCGCUGCUGUGCCAUGGCAACAUGUUCCUGAAAAGUAUCUUGGUGUGACAGCUCACCUGCUUACAGCAAAAUCCAAGAGCACUUGUUUAAAUGCUCCGUUUCCAGUAAAGGAAACCCUACACCACAGAA
Long non-coding RNA from Passer montanus (Eurasian tree sparrow), 366 nucleotides. RefSeq lists it as uncharacterized. The transcript has 2 exons. NCBI's taxonomy places the organism in Eukaryota, Metazoa, Chordata, Aves, Passeriformes, Passeridae. The record is from RefSeq and is a predicted model, not a curated record.